UCUCCUCCCCUUUAUGCCCGCGCCUCCGUGUACGGCCCGCCCAUAGCUCCUUCGACGGCGCCGCCUAGGAACGCGGAGAAAAUAUGACAAAGGAACGGCCAAAAAUAAAAAGAAAGACCUUUCUUUUGAAAAAACAAACAAAAAAAAGGAAUGCAACACGAGGACUUCCCAGGAGGUCACCCAUCCUAGUACUACUCUCGCCCAAGCACGCUUAACUUUGGAGUUCUGAUGGGAUCCGGUGCUUUAGUGCUGGUAUGAUCGCAUCCGACAUACCGUGCGUUCUCCUCCCCUUUAUGCCCGCGCCUCCGUGUACGGCCCGCCCAUAGCUCCUUCGACGGCGCCGCCUAGGAACGCGGAGAAAAUAUGACAAAGGAACGGCAAAAAUAAAAAGAAAGACCUUUCUUUUGAAAAAACAAACAAAAAAAAGGAAUGCAACACGAGGACUUCCCAGGAGGUCACCCAUCCUAGUACUACUCUCGCCCAAGCACGCUUAACUUCGGAGUUCUGAUGGGAUCCGGUGCUUUAGUGCUGGUAUGAUCGCAUCCGACAUACCGUGCGUUCUCCUCCCCUUUAUGCCCGCGCCUCCGUGUACGGCCCGCC
Molecule: long non-coding RNA, 600 nt
Filed under: Sorghum bicolor (sorghum)
Lineage: Eukaryota; Viridiplantae; Streptophyta; Magnoliopsida; Poales; Poaceae
Description: long non-coding RNA (SBIC_LNC018841)
Source: RNAcentral